GAUGAAGGACGUAGCGAAAUGCGAUAAGUAAUGUGAAUUGCAGAAUUCAGUGAAUCAUCGAAUCUUUGAACGCACAUUGCGCCCCCUGGUAUUCCGGGGGGCAUGCCUGUUCGAGCGUCAUUUCACCACUCAAGCCUCGCUUGGUAUUGGGCAACGCGGUCCGCCGCGUGCCUCAAAUCGACCGGCUGGGUCUUCUGUCCCCUAAGCGUUGUGGAAACUAUUCGCUAAAGGGUGUUCGGGAGGCUACGCCGUAAAACAACCCCAUUUCUAAGGUUGACCUCGGAUCAGGUAGGGAUACCCGCUGAACUUAAGCAUAUCAAUAAGCGGAGGA
RNAcentral lists this unclassified non-coding RNA (331 nucleotides) under soil metagenome. Its description in RNAcentral is "partial contains 5.8S ribosomal RNA, internal transcribed spacer 2, and large subunit ribosomal RNA". The stretch from base 1 to 120 matches the Rfam family "5.8S ribosomal RNA", at positions 35 to 154 of the family's 154-position model. The record is from RNAcentral.